Molecule: long non-coding RNA, 1147 nt
Organism: Alligator mississippiensis (American alligator)
Lineage: Eukaryota; Metazoa; Chordata; Crocodylia; Alligatoridae
Exons: 3
Source: RefSeq, a predicted model, not a curated record
GUUGAACAUACAAAAUCUGGGAACCGUGAUGCUGGAUUUCCCGAACUGCCAGAAGAGAUGAUGGCCUGCUGUGAGGUUUGUUUGGGUGUUAUCAAACUGCAUGUUCCAGGAACAACUAUUGCAUGAACAGCCUGUGAGCACUUUUCCGAACAAUGGGCAACUGACAGGAAGCAACUUUUGGCUCCAGAAAAAAUGGGAAGUUUGAAUAGAAGAUGUAGUUACAUGGUGCAGUGUUCAAAGGAACUACCUGGAAAACCAAAAAAAGAGAAGGACGGGCCGGAUGCUCAGUGGAAGUAAAUUAUCACAGCUCCACUGACUUCAGCAGAAGCCUGUCUGCUAGGAACUAAAACCUCUGUCCUGCAGUCAGAAGAACUUCUCAUUAUAAUGGUGUUUUUUAUAUCUAACCCGCUAUCUGCUUUUCAGUAUGUAACUGCUUAGAUCAGUGGUGUCCAACUUUCUAGCCCCAUGGCAUGGGGUUGGUCUGCAGGCCACAUCCUGCACAGGGUUGGCUUGUGGGGUUGGUCUCUGGAUGUGAUCCUGCAUGCCCGGAUGUGGCCACAGAGAGACCCCACACACCAGCCUGACCAUGCACCAGGCUAUGUUAUCCAGCCCUGGGAAAUUCCACAGGUCUGGAAAUUUGCCUGCCACCACUCCCCCACCACUGUAUUUCCAGACCCACAGAGGCUAGGUGACACAGCCCUGUGGGCUGGAUGUAGCUGGGAGGCUGGACAACCCUGGCUUAGACACAAAUAGAUUACUUUCCCCACCCUUGGUUGAGAAGAGUCUGAAUCUGGUGACCUCUGUGCAGGCUGCAAAAGAAAUCUGCUUUGGUCAUGUCUAACAGGAAAGCUAAACAGCCUUCCCAUAAUGAUGAAGGGGCAGAAAGUAGUCUUUGUAGCUGUCUGGCUGGCACAGCUCCAGCUGAACUAAUUAUUUUAAUACUGGUGACAUUUAAUUGUAUUGCUAGCAAUUGUUAGGGCCUAUAGAGCACUUCAUAGAUAUCUUUUAGUUAUUUUAAUCAAAGGAAAUCAAAUAAAGCCAAUACUGCUAUCAGAGUGUGAAUUGGUGUCUGCUCCGUUUUGACUGUAACUUUGCUUCUGCAAGCACAAGUGGAGAUGGGAAUGUGGGCACGAAAGUCCCAGGUAGA